AGUUUAGAUUAACUGAAGACAUGGAAGGGCUUUCAAAGUCUUCAAUCCCUUCCACCUUGAUGGAAGAAGGGCUAAGAAGAGUUCUAGGAGACAACUCCAUGGUUUUGCUCACAGGGCUGGCACUGGCCUUCUCCUCCAGCUUCCUCUUGAGAGUGUUCAUCGUGGAGGUGGGAGUUGAAGGGGAAGUGGCCGAGCUUGCCGGAAUCUGAGGACCGUGACACUGCCUUGUCAAUGCCCUCAACCUGCCUCCUACCCCGCCUCUUCAGAAUGAUUUUCAACCGUGCAGUUGCUCAGCAGUGUGGAUGAACGAGCGCGGAGGCUGAGACCGCCCGACUCAUCCACUCCCUGGAAACCAAACCCGGUGUAACCCAGUGCAGCAUUAGCGUCCUCACAGGACCGGAGUCCACCCUCGUCCUUCAAGGCUGAACGCAUGAUGAAUGGUGACGAGGUUGCAGAGGUUUAUGAAUGAACCACCAGUCAAAACAGAGCCACCAGCCACCACUUCGUUUAGACCAACAUCCGCUGUCGGAGUACUCGUAACUUCUAAACGUUGGGCUGCCACCCAGAAGCCAGGGACCAAAGGGGCCAAGACCCAAUUCUUCACUUCGAGUAUUUUGCACAGUUUAACCUCACAGCAAAUUGGAAUGUUCUGGAAAGAAGAGGCGAGCAAAACAGAAGGUCCUUGAAACCAAGAAGGGUGGUUCCCCACUCCCUCAUCCGUUAAAAACAAAGUCAUGGAGAAAAGUACUGCUUCUAACUCAGUGUGCUACUGAGAGAGAAUGGAAGACGGCAGAGAGUAAAUGGUGACGUCUUAACGGCAGAAUAUUUGAUGGGCAAAGGUGAAAAAGCCAGGGCAAGCAGAAGGAGGGUCUUGAUGGAGGAAGAAUGGCCUCUUAAGUUUGCUCAUCAGAAUAAACCGCUUUGUGGAUUUGAACGCAUCAUCUAAGGUGUCUGGAUGUACGGUCAGAACUGCGGGGUCAUGACCACAUGGGGGUGACAAAGGGAAGCCUCUCUGGUGGGGUACCGCUUCCCCCCUCGUCCCCCCUCCUCUACAGAAAGGGACGUUUUUCAACCCAACAGAUCUGCCUGAAAGCUUUUUAACAUUCCAGGUGUGAGGACUGAGCAGUCCCUACAAGCAUCCAUCUUUCAGUAACACCCGGUUUGAAAUAAACACUGCCAGGCUUCCACGGUUAGCGGGGAGAAGACAAGAGAGACAAACACAUGAGUGAUAGAAAAAGUGUAAAUUAAAAAAUUUAACAGUUUCCAUUAAAGAAGGCUGGUAUCACCUUCUGAGUCAAAACUGACUGGGCUUGUCAGAGAGAGACCUUAUGCUUAAUGCAAGACAAAACAAAACAAAAUCUAUGAUGUGUUCCCUAAUUUAUUUAUUUUUACUUGGAAAAUGUUGGAAAUACAUAGAUGAAAAAAAAAAGUCAAGGCAGGCCUAUAAGUGUACUUAAGCAUCUAUAUACAAAUGAAGGUGUAUGGGAAAUGAACAGGAUGUACCAGAAGCGAUAUUCGAUGAUGGUGAUUAGAACCUAAUGGGUAUAAGUGAAACCUUGUGGGAGGGCUCUGGUAACGGGAACGCCAAUGCUGAUGGACGCAAUCUAUACGGGAAUGAUAGCAAGGAGGGGGGUAGGGGGUGGCCGUGCAGACCCGAGGUGUCACAAUGCGGGGGAGA
Long non-coding RNA from Aethalodelphis obliquidens (Pacific white-sided dolphin), 1678 nucleotides. RefSeq lists it as uncharacterized. Lineage: Eukaryota; Metazoa; Chordata; Mammalia; Artiodactyla; Delphinidae. The record is from RefSeq and is a predicted model, not a curated record. The transcript has 5 exons.